GAUCUUUCGUCUAGACAGAAGAGAGAUCAUUUCCUUCCUUUCUAUAGGAAAUGACUAAUGUUGCUAAGUCACCUUCCGCUGCUCUUGUGUUCCUGCUGAAUCCAUGAGCAGGCAAGAGACAACCUGGCGAACUGAAACAUCUUAGUAGCCAGAGGAAAAGAAAGCAAAAGCGAUUCCCGUAGUAGCGGCGGGUAAAGAAAUUUCUGGAUGAGUUACGUAAACACCUAAAAGAUAC
Molecule: non-coding RNA, 235 nt
Filed under: Oryza nivara
Lineage: Eukaryota; Viridiplantae; Streptophyta; Magnoliopsida; Poales; Poaceae
Description: Bacterial large subunit ribosomal RNA
Rfam family: Archaeal large subunit ribosomal RNA (bases 121-200)
Source: Rfam by way of RNAcentral